RNAcentral lists this ribosomal RNA (279 nucleotides) under uncultured bacterium. RNAcentral describes it as "partial 16S ribosomal RNA". It matches the Rfam family "Bacterial small subunit ribosomal RNA", at positions 506 to 784 of the family's 1533-position model. The record is from RNAcentral.
UGCCAGCCGCCGCGGUAAUACGGAGGGUGCAAGCGUUAUCCGGAAUCACUGGGUUUAAAGGGUGCGUAGGCGGCGUUGUAAGUCAGAGGUGAAAGCUCACAGCUUAACUGUGGAAUUGCCUUUGAUACUGCAGUGCUUGAAUCAGGUUGAGGUUGGCGGAAUGUGUCAUGUAGCGGUGAAAUGCAUAGAUAUGACAUAGAACACCAAUUGCGAAGGCAGCUGACUAGACCUGUAUUGACGCUGAGGCACGAAAGCGUGGGGAGCGAACAGGAUUAGAUA